UACGAAGGGGGCGAGCGUUGUUCGGAAUCACUGGGCGUAAAGCGCACGCAGGCGGCUCGUUAAGUCAGGGGUGAAAUCCCGAGGCUCAACCUCGGAACUGCCUUUGAUACUGGCGGUCUCGAGUCCGGGAGAGGUGAGUGGAACUGCGAGUGUAGAGGUGAAAUGCGUAGAUAUUCGCAAGAACACCAGUGGCGAAGGCGGCUCACUGGCCCGGUACUGACGCUGAGGUGCGAAAGCGUGGGGAGCAAACAGG
RNAcentral lists this ribosomal RNA (253 nucleotides) under uncultured bacterium. RNAcentral's name for it is "partial 16S ribosomal RNA". It matches the Rfam family "Bacterial small subunit ribosomal RNA", at positions 524 to 776 of the family's 1533-position model. The record is from RNAcentral.